GGAUCCCAAGUGUCAUUCUUAAAGGGAUGACUUUUCAUUUGUGUAAAAAGCUUUUGGAAUAAGAGCUGGGCAAGACUGGUGCCAGCCGCCGCGGUAACACCAGCAGCUCGAGUGGUGGUCGUUUUUAUUGGGCCUAAAGCGUUCGUAGCCGGUUUUUUAAGUCUUUGGUGAAAGUCUAUAGCUUAACUGUAGAAAUUGCUGGGGAUACUAUUGAACUUGAGGUCGGGAGAGGUUAGAGGUACUCCCAGGGUAGGGGUGAAAUCCUGUAAUCCUGGGAGGACCACCUGUGGCGAAGGCGUC
Molecule: ribosomal RNA, 300 nt
Filed under: unidentified Methanobacteriales
Lineage: Archaea; Methanobacteriati; Methanobacteriota; Methanobacteria; Methanobacteriales
Description: bacterial SSU rRNA
Rfam family: Archaeal small subunit ribosomal RNA
Source: RNAcentral